UACAGAGGUCUCGAGCGUUAUGCGGAAUCACUGGGCUUAAAGCGUGUGUAGGUGGAUCGUUAAGUACCUUGUGAAAUCCCACGGCUUAACCGGGGAACUGCGUCUGAUACUGGCGAGCUUGAGUGCAGGAGAGGAACGCGGAAUUCCAGGUGUAGCGGUGAAAUGCGUAGAUAUCUGGAGGAACACCGGUGGCGAAGGCGGCGUUCUGGACUGCAACUGACACUGAUGAACGAAAGCCAGGGGAGCAAACGGG
This 253-nucleotide ribosomal RNA is filed under the name uncultured bacterium. RNAcentral's name for it is "partial 16S ribosomal RNA". It matches the Rfam family "Bacterial small subunit ribosomal RNA", at positions 524 to 776 of the family's 1533-position model. The record is from RNAcentral.